AUCACAGUGUGGCUGAGGGAUUCCACUUUCCUUAUAACUUUUGCCGAUCCCCGGCGCCACUGUGAUCGU
Drosophila melanogaster (fruit fly) is the source of this 69-nucleotide non-coding RNA. Lineage: Eukaryota; Metazoa; Arthropoda; Insecta; Diptera; Drosophilidae. The record is from Ensembl.